Molecule: non-coding RNA, 72 nt
Organism: Bos taurus (domestic cattle)
Lineage: Eukaryota; Metazoa; Chordata; Mammalia; Artiodactyla; Bovidae
Source: Rfam
UCCCUUGUAGCUCAUUCGGUAAAGAAUCUGCCUGUGGUGCAGGAGACCCGGGUUCAAUCCCUGGGUUGGGAA